GAAAUCCGUAGGCAGCAGGCAGAAUCCAGAGUACCACGAGACACGUGGAACCUUGUGGGAAGUCGGGAGGACCACCUCCCAAGGCUAAAUACUACUCAGUGACCGAUAGCGUAUAGUACUGUGAAGGAAAGGUGAAAAGAACCCCGGGAGGGGAGUGAAAGAGAACCUGAAACCCUGUGUUUACAAGCUGUGGGACAUCCUUAAGAGAUGGACCGCGUACUUUUUGUAGAACGGUCCGGCGAGUUACAUCAUCUGGCGAGGUUAAGGACUAAAGGUCCGGAGCCGAAGGGAAACCGAGUCUUAAUAGGGCCAGAGUCAGAUGGAGUAGACCCGAAACCGGGUGAUCUAUCCAUGUCCAGGUUGAAGUUGCCGUAAAAGGCAAUGGAGGACCGAACCCACAUCCGUUGAAAAGGGUGGGGAUGAGGUGUGGAUAGGGGAGAAAUUCCAAUCGAACCCGGAGAUAGCUGGUUCUCCUCGAAAUAGCUUUAGGGCUAGCCUCAGUUUAGCGACACGGAGGUAGAGCACUGAAUAGCCUAGGGGGCGUCAAAGCCUACCGAAGCUUAUCAAACUCCGAAUGCCGUGGACGUGAUGACUGGGAGUCAGACUGCACGAGAUAAGUUGGGUAGUCGAAAGGGAAAGAGCCCAGACCGCCAGCUAAGGUCCCAAAAUACAUGUUAAGUGGAAAAGGAUGUGGGAUUUCGAAGACAACUAGGAUGUUGGCUCAGAAGCAGCCAUCCAUUCAAAGAGUGCGUAAUAGCUCACUAGUCGAGAGGUCCUGCGCCGAAAAUGUCCGGGGCUGAAACAUGAUACCGAAGCUGCGGAACCGCAAGGUUGGUAGAGGAGCAUUGUCAGCGGGAAGAAGCUGUACCGGAAGGAGCAGUGGACUGCUGAGAAGAGAGAAUGCCGGAAUGAGUAGCGAGAACAAGGUGAGAAUCCUUGUGGCCGAAUAUCCAAGGUUUCCAGAGUAAAGCUGAUCUGCUCUGGGUAAGUCGGGGCCUAAGGCGAGGACGAGAGUCGUAGUCGAUGGACAACAGGUGGAGAUUCCUGUACUGCAUAUGGACAGAACUGUGGGGACGCAGAAAGAGAGCGUGAGCCGGGAAUGGAA
This 1105-nucleotide ribosomal RNA is filed under the name Frisingicoccus caecimuris. Its description in RNAcentral is "partial 23S ribosomal RNA". It matches the Rfam family "Bacterial large subunit ribosomal RNA", at positions 382 to 1503 of the family's 2925-position model. The record is from RNAcentral. Lineage: Bacteria; Bacillati; Bacillota; Clostridia; Lachnospirales; Lachnospiraceae.